This 947-nucleotide long non-coding RNA is filed under the name Rattus norvegicus (Norway rat). RNAcentral describes it as "long non-coding RNA NONRATT020335". The record is from RNAcentral. Lineage: Eukaryota; Metazoa; Chordata; Mammalia; Rodentia; Muridae.
CAAAGGAGAGAUGAGAAGUCAGUUUUAAUUACCAAAGUUAACAGUAUUUCUCUUAGGUAUUUUCAUGUAAUUGCACUUAAUCUGCAUGAUAGUCUGUGAAGUAAACUGGCUUCACACAUGCACAUCUGUGAGGAAAUGGAUGCUAAACACCAAGGAGGCCAAUAGCUGAGUCUACACUGCUGUGUCCUCCUGCUAGGUCAGUGGUUCUCACUCAACCUGUGGGCCCUGACCUUUUUGAGGUUAGAAGACCCUUUCACAGGGGUCACCUAAGACCAUCAGAAAACAGAUAUUUACAUUAUGAUUCAUAACUGUAGCAAAAUUACAGUUCUGAAGUAGCAAUGAAAAUAAUUUUAUGGUUGGGGGUCACAACAUGAGGAACUGUGUUAUUAAAGAGUCACAACAUUAGGAAGGUUGAGUACCACUGCCCUAGGUGUUGUAGUUUUAAAGCCUAUUUUGGUUUUCCCAUUGUACAUGACUAACUAAAUAAAGUUAGUACACACUAACUUUUGUGUUCUGUGUUGAGUUUUUGAAAUAAUACAUACAUUUGUUUUCUUUUCUUCACCAGGCUUUUCAGACGUGGAUCACACCUAUGCUCAGAGAACUCAGCUCUUUGACACCUUAGUGAAUUUCUUUCCUGACAGCAUGACUCCUCCUAAGGGCAACCUGGUAGACCUCAUCACACUGUAACUGGGCGUGGAUUGAGGAGUUACUGGGCUCAGAAGUGGAGACAGGAACCGGAGGUGGCUGUUUGUGUGGGCAGAGGUGACGUUGCAGUGACUGAGGACUGAGGACUGCAUCCGAGUUUUGAAGGAUCCUUACUGUCACAAGUUUUAACCCUCUUCCUUCAUACCUGACCUCAAUCCCCUUUUCCUUAUAUUCCUGCAUUAGGCUAAUAAAGUGAAAUUGAUAUACUUCCCAUUUAAUUAUGUAUAUUUUUCUUUAGCUUU